UAGUUGUUUAACUAUUGUAUCAACAAAAAAGAGUACAAAAAAAUAAAAUAAAAUAGUUCAUCUUUGUCUUAAAACCUAAAGAAAAUGUGAUCUUGUUUGUUGUAAGAUACCAAAGUUUUUAUUUUUGUGUUUGUUGCAUUUCAUUGUAGUCACCAUCAAUCGCCUCUCAUUAUUCCCUGAAGUGUCAGUUCUCAUAAUUAGU
Molecule: long non-coding RNA, 202 nt
Filed under: Carica papaya (papaya)
Lineage: Eukaryota; Viridiplantae; Streptophyta; Magnoliopsida; Brassicales; Caricaceae
Description: long non-coding RNA (CPAP_LNC003177)
Source: RNAcentral